RNAcentral lists this ribosomal RNA (253 nucleotides) under uncultured bacterium. Its description in RNAcentral is "partial 16S ribosomal RNA". It matches the Rfam family "Bacterial small subunit ribosomal RNA", at positions 524 to 776 of the family's 1533-position model. The record is from RNAcentral.
UACGAAGGGGGCUAGCGUUGUUCGGAUUUACUGGGCGUAAAGGGCGCGUAGGCGGUGCGAUAAGUCAGGCGUGAAAGCCCCGGGCUCAACCCGGGAAUAGCGCUUGAUACUGUUGCGCUUGAAUCCAGGAGAGGAUGGCGGAAUUCCCAGUGUAGAGGUGAAAUUCGUAGAUAUUGGGAAGAACACCAGUGGCGAAGGCGGCCAUCUGGCCUGGAAUUGACGCUGAGGCGCGAAAGCGUGGGGAGCAAACAGG